This 254-nucleotide ribosomal RNA is filed under the name uncultured bacterium. RNAcentral describes it as "partial 16S ribosomal RNA". It matches the Rfam family "Bacterial small subunit ribosomal RNA", at positions 524 to 777 of the family's 1533-position model. The record is from RNAcentral.
UACGAAGGGGGCUAGCGUUGUUCGGAAUUACUGGGCGUAAAGCGCGCGCAGGCGGUCUUCCAAGUCAGUGGUGAAAGCCUGGAGCUCAACUCCAGAACUGCCAUUGAAACUGUUAGACUUGAGUCCGGGAGAGGUGAGUGGAACUGCGAGUGUAGAGGUGAAAUUCGUAGAUAUUCGCAAGAACACCAGUGGCGAAGGCGGCUCACUGGCCCGGUACUGACGCUGAGGUGCGAAAGCGUGGGGAGCAAACAGGG